UCAAAUGCGAUGACGAGACGAGUAGACAAAGGGUGCGCUUUACCAGAGAGCUCCGGCAGCUGGAAAGGAGCAAAGCGUCUUUGUUGAAGAAAGACUCCGAGCAGCACAUCGGAAUCCGAUGCCGGAGGAUGGUGUGCCAGGUGCUCCUGUUACAGAGCUAGAGUAUAACCGCUUGCGCUUGGGAUGCAGCGGCGUACUCGAAGAGGCCGGUUUGGCGACAAACCGGCGAAUCCGGGUGGUACCGCGGGAACGACAUCUCGCCCCAGAG
Molecule: non-coding RNA, 268 nt
Filed under: Thermobacillus composti
Lineage: Bacteria; Bacillati; Bacillota; Bacilli; Caryophanales; Paenibacillaceae
Description: T-box sequence
Rfam family: T-box leader
About the family: Uncharged tRNA acts as the effector for transcription antitermination of genes in the T-box leader family.
Source: RNAcentral